UUUAUUCUUUUAACACAUUAUUAAAUUGUUGAAGGCUACUUGUUGACAUCUGUAGAUUUUAACAACCAACGGACUACAUAUCUGUCCCAGCAAACAUUUUGGACUCAGGUGUAACUACUAAAGGCUGCGAUAUGUUCAGUUGUUUCAGUCCCAACGCUCUGACACGGCAUGCUGGUUGGUUGGCGGGUAAACCUAAACGGAACGGGGCCAUAUUGAUGAGAUUGCCUACACCUGGCCCUUCUGCAGUAAUUCAAAAUGUCUGCUGUGAUGAAGGUGUGUUACACAAGUGAGGAAUGAAAAGAGGUUAUUUAUUUUCAGUUGGUAUUUCAGAGAACAAAAUAAUUGAGCUGGUAAACAACAUAUAAUCCGGGAUACUGCGCCUGCAUUGUUGGAUUUAUGUGAAGUUAAGCUACAGGAAAACCGAGGGCAGAGCAGCUGGAAGGAGACUGGAAAACCAAACAGCCUGUCCGUCUGCUACCUGAUCCGUCCGUCCUCUCUGGGCGGGGUCAGUUCAGACUUGGUGUCGGGGCUGGCAGCGCUCCAGACGGUGAGACGACAGCGCUGCAUGACGGGACAGGCGCUGGGUCCCAUCGAGCAGACGUCUGCGGCCGACCAGUGGCCCUCCAGCAGCCAGUCCAGCCAGCGGCGCAGCGGCACCCCCGUCAGGGCAGCGUUGGCCUCAGCCUCCUCCACGGCGCCCAGACUCACAGGCAGCCGAAGCACCGGGUUCAGGCCGUGGAAACUCUGCUCCAUGUAGGAAUUUCUGGCUGGGCCACCGUGCAACCGCAGGGCAUCCUCUGGAUCCCAGGACAAGUGUGACGUGUUUGGAACGCUCACCUUGCUGUAAAGGCUGCUGUCGGUGGAACUCCAGCGGAGCCACGAUGAAGCUGGUCUGACCCAGCGGGUUCCAGUGAUGCAGCACCCUCAGCGUCCACAAGCCGGGCCUCAAGGGCAGGGUGAGCGGUGGCCGGUAGUGGGUGACCUCAGCCGAGGCGUCAACCAGGAUGUCGUAAGUGGCAGCGAUGACGUUGGUGGGGUCGAUCCACACCACAGUAGCCGUCAGGUUGCUCUGGCUUCGGCUCCAGCGCUGCACGGCCACCGGCUCGUCCUUGGGGCCCAGCAGACCCCCCCAGUUCCUGAAGAGACGCUCCUUAGGAUCCCAGUCCGCCCCAACCUGAACAACAGGAAGAGUUUCAGGAUCGCCCUGUUUGCACUGACUCAGAUUCUGAUUGCAGGGACAGUUUAGAUUGUAUCUGGCAAAAUCUGCUGAAAAUUAUUUUAUAAAUGGCUUCCAGUUGAUUUUAGCCUUGAUUUUAAGGUUUCAAUCAAUUUAAAGUUGUACUCAUUAUUUUUAAAGCUGUCUGGCUCCAGUAUACAUGUGGGAGCUUUUCUGCCCAUACUGCUACUACUAUACUACCUUUUGUCGAUGACUUUAUUUCCAUCUAAAGAACCUUAUUUUCUAUUUCAGUCGUCUUAGUUUUUUCCUAAUCAUUUAUUUUAUUGCCAUGUGUUCUUUUGUGAAGCACUUUGUAAAAAGGUCCUUAUCACAACUGUGUGACUUCAUUUUCUAUCUUAAUCUUACAAAUGCUAAUGUUUCAUACCAAACAAUUCAUCCACUGAUAUUAGUAUAUAGAAGCUAAAUUGUUUUGUAUAAUGCUUUCGCAUUUUUUAGCCCAAAAUACUUUCUCAAACCAUAAGUAGCAUGCAAUUGUUAAACUUCUCCAAAAAUCGCAAAUGGGGAACAAAAGACAAAUUCUGAGGUAUUUGCUUUUCAACUGACUGCAAUAAAGUGCAGAUUUUAAAUCUGUGCUUUACAUGUUUAUAAAUAAAACACUUAAAUUGA
Molecule: long non-coding RNA, 1843 nt
Organism: Sander lucioperca (pikeperch)
Lineage: Eukaryota; Metazoa; Chordata; Actinopteri; Perciformes; Percidae
Exons: 4
Source: RefSeq, a predicted model, not a curated record